AUUAAUUAUGUUUAGUUUAAAUAAAUAAAUAAGCUAAAUAAAAAGAAAACAUAACUUGAAAAAUGGAAAGAAAAGAAUAAAUACAUAAAAUAAACGCCGCCUUUGCUGAGCUCUGUUAUUUCCACAGAGCAAUUUACUUCUUCGGCCGCUGUCUCUCUCUCCCCUCAUCGAAGGAAAUCAAACAAGCCAUAGCUUAUGAUCCAAAAAUGAAUCAAGACCCACCAUCAGAAAUCGUCACAGAUAUCCUUUUGAGACUUCCUCUUGAAAACGUUGCAAUUUGCAAAUGCGUUUGCAAACCAUGGCUCAAUGCGGCGGAGACUGACGAUUUUGUCGAGUCUCAUUUUUCUAAAUCUGCUCCCGCCAUAGUUGUCUCGAUGCCGGGUACGUAUUCAAAUUGGUUCAGUGUUUUCAAAUUGGAAGACGAGCACAAGCAUGAGCACAAACACGAUCCCAUCAUCAAGUUUGAUUUCCCGCAAGCAUGAACAAUACAGGGUUCUGCCAAUGGCUUACUUCUUCUGAAGAAUCCCUUUAUUGAUCAUCUCUACGUGUGUAAUCCGAUCACCCGUGAAUAUGUUGAGCUCCAUGGGCCCCACACUCGCCCGCGGGGUGACUGUUAUGGAUUUCGAGUUGGCAAAAUAAGCGGACAGCAUACGGUUGUCUAUCUGAAUCCUAAAUCCGGAUGUCAUGUGCACACUCUUGAAACAGGAUCCUCGUGGAGACGCGUUGAAGCUGUCCCCUCGUUCGACCACUGCGACAAAUCUGUUGGUGCAUUUGUUAAUGGCAAUCUCCACUGGUUAGUUUCAAAUGGGCAGGAGCGUGCUUAUAUUUGUUGUUUUGAUGUUGAGACGGAAUGUUUUAGCACCUUCUCUGCACCGGCUACAAGUUCCUGGGGAGAGUUGUAUGUUUUAGGGGAUUGCUUGAGUUUUUGUGAUAUUGAACCAUAUGAAGAUGAUAAUGUGAUCUGGUUGUUGAAGGAAAAUAUGAACAGGCCGAGAAACGAAACGAUGGAGCGAAGUACAUUUUAUCUUGCAAGAAGAAGCUUAUUAUGGUUACAGUGUCUACAAUCACAAUCAUUUUCAGCUUAUCAAAAUUUACACAAAUGGUGACAUGUUAAUUUUAUGGGAUGAGAAACUCUUUACAUACUACUGCAACAAGGAGAGAACUGUUAGAGAAAUUGGUUUGUUUGGUAAAAUGGAUGAUGAUUGUUUGUAUAUCAACUCCAUUCUUCUCACUCCAAGUUUUCUCUCACUCAAACGAAGUUUGGGUAUGGAAAAUGUAAUGUCAUUUUAGUUUGAACAUGUAUUUUCUUUGCUAGUAUUUGGUGUUGUUAUUUACUUAUGUCACUGUUUAAAAAUCAUUUUGCUAUAAUUAGUUGUUUGCUGAAUUACA
Salvia splendens (bonfire salvia) is the source of this 1389-nucleotide long non-coding RNA. RefSeq lists it as uncharacterized. The transcript is spliced from 2 exons. Lineage: Eukaryota; Viridiplantae; Streptophyta; Magnoliopsida; Lamiales; Lamiaceae. The record is from RefSeq and is a predicted model, not a curated record.